Molecule: ribosomal RNA, 494 nt
Filed under: Lachnospiraceae bacterium oral taxon 373
Lineage: Bacteria; Bacillati; Bacillota; Clostridia; Lachnospirales; Lachnospiraceae
Description: bacterial SSU rRNA
Rfam family: Bacterial small subunit ribosomal RNA
Source: RNAcentral
AACCCUGAUGCAGCGACGCCGCGUGAGUGAAGAAGUAUUUCGGUAUGUAAAGCUCUAUCAGCAGGGAAGAAGAUGACGGUACCUGAGUAAGAAGCCCCGGCUAACUACGUGCCAGCAGCCGCGGUAAUACGUAGGGGGCAAGCGUUAUCCGGAUUUACUGGGUGUAAAGGGAGCGCAGACGGCAGCGUAAGUCUGAAGUGAAAGCCCGCGGCUUAACCGCGGGACUGCUUUGGAAACUACGCGGCUUGAGUGUCGGAGGGGCAGGCGGAAUUCCUGGUGUAGCGGUGAAAUGCGUAGAUAUCAGGAAAAACACCGGUGGCGAAGGCGGCCUGCUGGACGACAACUGACGUUGAGGCUCGAAGGCGUGGGGAGCGAACAGGAUUAGAUACCCUGGUAGUCCACGCGGUAAACGAUGAAUACUAGGUGUCGGCGCCCAAAGGGAGUCGGUGCCGUGCAAACGCGUAAGUAUUCCACCUGGGGGAAUACGUUCGCAA